This 72-nucleotide transfer RNA is filed under the name Marmota monax (woodchuck). It matches the Rfam family "tRNA". From Rfam's summary of the family: Transfer RNA (tRNA) molecules are approximately 80 nucleotides in length. Their secondary structure includes four short double-helical elements and three loops (D, anti-codon, and T loops). Further hydrogen bonds mediate the characteristic L-shaped molecular structure. tRNAs have two regions of fundamental functional importance: the anti-codon, which is responsible for specific mRNA codon recognition, and the 3' end, to which the tRNAs corresponding amino acid is attached (by aminoacyl-tRNA synthetases). tRNAs cope with the degeneracy of the genetic code in two manners: having more than one tRNA (with a specific anti-codon) for a particular amino acid; and 'wobble' base-pairing, i.e. permitting non-standard base-pairing at the 3rd anti-codon position. Lineage: Eukaryota; Metazoa; Chordata; Mammalia; Rodentia; Sciuridae. The record is from Rfam by way of RNAcentral.
UGGGCUGUAGCUCAGUGGUAGAGUGCAUGCCCUGAAUGCAUGAGGCCCUGGGUUCGGUCCCCAGCACCACAU